This is a long non-coding RNA of Alligator mississippiensis (American alligator), 9976 nucleotides long. RefSeq lists it as uncharacterized. The transcript is spliced from 2 exons. The record is from RefSeq and is a predicted model, not a curated record. NCBI's taxonomy places the organism in Eukaryota, Metazoa, Chordata, Crocodylia, Alligatoridae.
UCAGGCUGGACAUAAGGAAGAAUUUCUUUACUGUCCGAGCCCCCAAGGUCUGGAACAGCCUGCCGCCGGAGGUUGUUCAAGCGCCUUCAUUGAACACCUUCAAGAUGAAACUGGAUGCUUAUCUUGCUGGGAUCCUAUGACCCCAGCUGACGUCCUGCCCUUUGGGCGGGGGGCUGGACUCGAUGAUCUUCCGAGGUCCCUUCCAGCCCUAAUGUCUGUGAAAUCUGUUGUCCAAAAUUUGACUAUUGACUGAAUGAAACUGAUAUCCACUGAUAAUGGUGACUAAAAUCUAGUUUACCCAAAUACACUAAGAGUUCAUCCUCACAGCAAGAUCUAUGGUUUAGUUCACAUUUAAUUUCCCUAAUCACUUGUUAUAUAUUUUGGAAACCUGUAAAUACCAUAUGUCUCUGUCCAAGCCAGCAGCUGCUCUUUCCCCUCUAUUUUAGGGAAAAGUAAAUUUCAUCAUAUAAAAUAAAAACUGGUAUGAGCUUUCUCCCAAAACUUGAAACAGAUCCAAGCUGACUAUCACUAAUCACUGAAAAAGUUUGGAUAAUAUUUUUUAAACAAUUGUCUAGAUCAUUUUAUUUACAGCAUUAGAGUGACUUAGUGCUCUGGAAAUAUUAUUUCCAGAGUCAUUGGGUCCUGGCAGACAUUAUGUUUAUCACACUAUUGCAUAAUAAAUUGUAAUAUGCCACACAUUCAGCCAUUUUAUUACAUGAUGCAAAUGGCAAACCAGCCACAAAGGUUCUUCACAUUUAAUGUGGAUGAUGUUUCAUAUUUAAUGUGAAACAUGUUUGUGGCUCAUUUGUAUUUCACUUUAAUUUGCAUGUGUAGCGUGUUAAAGCCGCCUGACAUGGCAGGUCUCAUGAUCCUUGGGAUUCGGAACAAAAUUCCUCAGAUCCUAUUGCACGUUUAAAUUAAUAUCUGCCAGGGGCCAUAGAUGAUAGGCAAGGUCCCGGAGGACUGGAGAAUGGUUUUAAAAAGGGGAUAAAAAGAUGACCAAUGACCAGAGGCAUGUAGACUGAUAAGUCUAAGUUCAACACAAGAAGUUAUUAGAACAAAUGAUGAAAACAUUUGUAUGUAUCUUCUUACAAAUAUAAAACAUUUGCUCUACCAAACAAAUAUUUGUAAAACAUUUGUAAAUACCUGGAGAAGGAAAGAGGGACCACUAGCAGCCAACAUGGAUUUGAUAGGAACAUAUUAUACCAAAACAACUUGAUAUCCUUCUCUGACAGUGUAACUAGACUGGUGGAUGAGGAAAGUGCAUUGUAUAUAAUAUUCCAGGAAUUCAUUAAGGCUUUUGUUGCAGUUCCACAUAACAUUCUCAUAGGCAAGCUGAAGAAACGUGGGCUACAUAGAAGUACCAUUAGGUGGAUAGAUAAUUGGUCAAACAACUGCAAACAAAGAGCAACUAUUAAUGGAUUAAUAUCAGAAUGAUAGGAAGUUUCAAGUGGGGUACCACAGAGAUCUGUUCUGGGUCUGAUGCUGUUAACAUUUUUAAGAAUGAUUUAGGUGUAUGUAUAGAGCAUGCUAAAUAAGUUUGCAGGUGACACAAAGUGAGUGGGGUGCAAGUACUUUAGAGGAUUCAAAAGGCUCUUGAUAAAUUAGAUCACAAACUCAAUGACAGUUAGCGAUGUGAAGUUACAUUAAUUGAAAUAUUGUAUGCAAAAUGCAAGUAGGUAGAGUACCACUCUAAUCAGUGCUAGCUAGGCCUCAUCUGGAGAAUUGUGUCUAGUUGUGGGCACAGCAUUUAAGAAGCAUGUACAGAAACAAAAGAAGACCUAACAAUAGGUGACAAAGAGAAAGAUUGAGAGAACUAGAUACAUUUCAUUUGGAGAAAAUUGUUAUAAAAUGACCUGGCACCCAUCUGCUUUGGUUGUAUUAAUGAUCUACUGCUGAUCAUUCUAAACUUGACCCCCUAAGUCAUUUUACACUUAAAUUCAAUAAAAUGAUGUAACAGGGCCCGUGCCCCAUUAUUGAGAAGGGGAGGGAGCCCAGGGCUCGUUAGCCAGCCCAGCCCCUUGAACAGACUAAAUAGGAAAAAGGAACCUUAAAUAAGAUGGCUGCCUGCCCCAGGUGUAAUCUGUGAUUGGCAGGCCUGCAGUGGAAGUACAGCAUCAGGUGAUCCAGGGAGAGGCUCAAAAGCUCGGGACUUGUCUGGUUGUAGGAGCUGCAGAAAGCAGAGUUCCAGGGAACUAAUCUGGACUGCCUGGAGGAAAGGCUGGGUACCACAGAAGGGUAGAAGAGACCCUGUGCUGUGAGCAACAUGAAAUAAGUACUUUGAACCUUUUGCAUUUAUGCUAUUGUGGGGUGAAAUUAACCCUUGCAGAGAAGCUUGUAUUUGGCAAGCCUUUUGUUUAAAAGUGAAUGCUCGUACUUUUGAUUUACAUUUACACUGGAGGACUAGGGUAGCUGUAAGGGGGUGGAUUGUAGGUCAUUGGAAUGCAGCAGGAGCACCUAGCUCAGAGCAUUCCCACAGCCCAGUACUGGCAGGAGUCCAAAUACAUUCAGCAAGAAGAUUGUGGUGUGUCAAAAGACUGCAUAUCUGAAAGCAAAAACUGGGGAGUGUAACUUUCAUGUCCACAGGGGGCAUGAUUAGGGGCUGAGUGGUCCAGAGCCUGUGAGGGGUUAGAGUUGGUGCUCAAGGACCUGGUAUAUUAGUGUGGCAGAAAGCUACCUCUGUGUCUACACAGAGCAGAGUUUUUGGGGAAAUUUGGUUAAGAUGGGCCCUGCAGAGGGUACACACCUUACCCUAUCUCUUUAGGUAACCUAAGCUGGAUACAUUCCUGAGGGAGGGGGGAAACCUGCUCCCUCUGCCUACGUGACUAGCAUCACAUACCUGAGUGAGGGGCUUGGGUUCCCUGGGGAGCUAGGAACUGCCAGUCUGCCCAGCAACUAGUGAUGCAUUUCAAAUUGGUUGGCUGAUAGCCAACAGGUGCUGGCCUCCAUUGGACCAGGUAAAUGAGGUCAUAAGGGCUAUAUAAGUUAAGGACUGCCCAGGAAAAGGGAGCAGCAGCUGUGAGGAAGACUCGGAGAGAGAGAAGAGCUGGACCAUCUGAAACUUGCUCUCUCUCUCAAAACUCAUGAUCAAUGAACUGCCUGCCUCCAGAGGCAAUCUCCACCUGCCUCUGGAUGAUACUUGUAAGAAAUGCAUGUUGCAAGGAGUUCCCGCCAUUUGUGUUCUAAUUCGAGCCCCAUUAUUGGCUUGCGCUAAAUUAUUCACACGUGGCGGCUGGCGAUUGGCUUGUUAGCCAUAUAAGAGGCUUGAGUGGUUUCCGCCCAAGUUGGAGGACUCCAUGACUAUCAGGAGGAAGAGAACUUCACGUCUUGUGAAGAUCUCUAAGCGCUGUGGAGCCUAUUGGACCCAGCGUAUUCAAAGAAGGCAACAGGGGUCUGAUCAGCUUCUAGCCUCUCCCCGUCACCGAGCGCAAUCCUCGACGUAUCCCUCUUCGCUGCGCGCAAAAAGGAUCCACGGAGCCUCAACAACUCCAUGGGAGUGAUCCGAAUACUGUCUGAGUCCUCCACCACGACCAUCUUCGGUGUAAGUAAACAAUCUUGAAUCAACCAUUAUGAGUCCGUGCCUAAUUCUAGCGUGUCGCCUGCUUUCUCCGACCCAGCGUGCCUGGGCUGCUGGCCACAGCCCACGCGGCACGAAAAAGGGCCCGGAUCGCUCCCGGCCCGCACAGGGGCCACCGCCCUGCAAAGCUGUAAAAUCAAGUGACGAUGGCAGGUGAGAUAACCAUAGUGCGGGGAAGAACCCAGAGAGUCUGAAAGCAAGAGUGAGGAUGUUGGGGUCUGGUAGCAAGCCAGGCCAGGAACCUUGUCAUGUCAGUACUGAACAUUUUGGUUACAGGUGACUAUUAAUCUUUGCAGUAUUGGCAAUGAUCUUAAUACCCUUUUAAUGCAUUAUUUUUGGUAAUCCCUCAAAGCAAGAACAAAUCUCAUUGACUUCCUAUAUAUUAUGCUUCAUAAAGAGGAUUCUUGAGAAGCAUUAGAUUGCUCCUCUACCAGGCAUUCCUGGGUUCAUAGCUAGGAUCUCAAAAACUGUGAACUUGAUAAUGUAAAUCUCUGGAACAUAACCCAUCUCAAAUAAGAGUAAUACAAAUAACAGUAUAGUUACUUGCAUUGGCAACAUGUAUUCUGUUCAGAACCAUCAUGCAAUGUGUCUUGGCUGGCAGAAAGUGAGAGUUUCAUAGUUUCAUAGUAGCUAGGGUCAGGAGGGACCUGAACAGAUCAUCUAGCCUGACCCCCUGCCACAGGCAGGAAUGAAUGCUGGGUUCACAAGACCCCAGACAGGUGACCAUCCAACCUCCUCUUGAAUUUGCCCAAGGUAGGGGCGAGGACCACCUCCCUGGUAUACUACACAAUCCCCAAGGAAGCAAAUAUCUUAUUGUUUUACAGUGACCACUUUUUCUAAGAAGUGCCCAAGGUUUGUUUCUACGAAGAGUAUUCCCUCCAGACUGCUUUGAUCAGAAAGGAAGUAGAAGUGAUACUGUAGAAGCAGUAUAUGCUGCUUCUACUCUUUCUUAUUCCUCUCCAACCCCCUGUCAAGUAGCUAAGUAUUACUAGCACCACCUUACAGAGAAGAAAACAAGGAAGUCAUGUCAGUGGCGAGAUUAGCACUCAAAUAUUUAGUUCCCAGUCUUGUUUUCAGAUCACCAGACCACAUCUCUUAGGGGAGAGAGUUGUACCCAGAGCUAUUAGUGAGUAGGGUGGGGAACACAAAAGACUAUGUGUAUACUGGAGAUCUAUGGGAAUCCAUUGGGUAUUUGAUGAUCUGUUCAGCAGUUUGUUGGGAAAAUGAUAAUGAAACAAGCCAUUUCCCUUGAUCUUUCCCUGUAUCUAUUAACAAAAGUUCUGUCUGAAAAGAACCAUGCCAUAGAGGACCCAGACAAUGAUUAAGGUCUGAGAGGAUCCAUCCAAACCUGCUGUGGUAUGACUUCAUUUAUUGUAACACCACAACCUUUCCCUAGCAGCUUCUGCAUGUGAAGAAGGAAAAUAGCUGGCUGUACUGUGACAUCAUUAUCCACUCCUGCAGAAAAGAAGCCUCAGGUCAUAUUUGUUCCAUCAGCAUUUAUUACACAGGGGAAUUAGUUUGCCUGGCAUUUGUCCGACUAUGGCUGCAUUCUUACUAGUUGCAUCAUGCAACACCUGUUUUCACUUGUAAUAGCUGGUAUUUAUACAAUACAGUUGUUAUCCCUUUCUCUUUUUAGAGGAGGCAUAAAUAUGCCUAACCUAACCUUCUCUCAAAGUAAUAUACUAAAUCUACCAAAUGGGUGUCAUCCUGCACAAAGGAAGCCUAUGCCUUCAUUCUGUCAACCACUAUAAUCAUUUAAAAUAUUUAACCAGGGUCUUAUUAUCUCUCACAUUCCAGGUGUUUAAAUUGUACAUUCAUUCCAGCACACCUACAAUACUCAAUAGAAAGAAUAUAUCAAACUAAGACUAUAAGCUAUGUUCUCUACUCAGUAGCCACAUCAACACGAGACACUGACAGCGCAGUAGCCCGUGACUACUGCUCAGUAGCAUCAUAUCGUAGGAAGCGUGACACAAUGCAACUCUGCAGCAGUCAUGAGUUACUGUGCAGUUGGCGUUUUGAAACAGCCAUUCCUCAGAUGCAGUAACUCUGGUUAUAUGGGUACUUAAUGACUGCAUAGUCGGUGUCUUGUGUAGACCUAAGUUUAUACCAGUGUAACUAUGUCGAAAUCAGUAUAUUAACUGGCCAAAAGCUGGCUUGAAAGAAUCAGGCCUUACAGAACUGUUUCCAGAGAACAAAUAAGUAAAAGUGAAACCGCAAAGUAUCUCAGGCAUGGCUAACAUUAUAUUCUGUUAGCCAGAGAAACAGGCACAAGAGGCAUCUGGAAGAGAAAAUUAACUAAAAUAUAAAGUAGUGAUAUAAACAAGAAGAAAUACAGGCCCCCCCAGCUUAUAAAACUGGGCUUGAUGAAUGUCACAUAAUUUAGGCUGCUACUUUUUCCCUCGGAAAAUACAACAAAUCAGAGAGGAAAAUAUUUAAACCAAUAAACAUUUCAAUCAGGGAUCAAUGGGAGGAAUAAAAGAUAAAAGCACAGAAGAAAAAAAUAAGCUGCCAACAGCACUGGACAAAGCAUGCUGUUCCAGCUGCCAGCGGAGGGUUCUGGAUUGAGAGUAUGGUCGGGAGUAAAAAGGUAAGAAAGUUUUAUUGACUUAACAAACACACAACUACGCAUAAAUAAUAAGACUACAAUGACAGACCAUAACAAUUCACGUUGGCAACUUAACGGCAGCCCCUCUGAUGCCUGAUGUACAAGUUCCUCUCCUUCAAAGGUCAGCGAAGUCAGGUGUCCCCAAUCUGCGUUGUCUGAGGGGUAUCAGGAAGGACCCUAGUAUUCAGGCCUCAGGCUCCUCGAGAUCCAUGGGCCCACUGAAUCCAGGUCAGCAGCUAACUUUAAAUCAGUAGCUUCUCUCACAGGGCUGCAUCUUCUUUCUAAUGAUUUCCAGAUGUGCCAGCCAAUUUAUAACUUCUGAGCUAUGCUGAUAACUUACAGCCAUUCAGAUUCUUUCACUACAAUUUUUCUUACAACUGACGAAUAGCAGUAAAAGCCUUUGCAUUCUUCUGAUAAGGUUAAUUUUUAACUGUGCCACAAAGCUUACUACUACUUCUACAAGGCCUUGCUAAAUUUACUCAGGCUCACUACAUACAAGGCCUCACUAAUCUUUGACUUUAAUUAGGCUCUUAGUGGUGACAUACAGCUUACAAUACAUGAACAAAUGCCAAAAAAAACUGGUCUAAUCCUCACAGUGUUCAGCAAGCACCUUAGAAACACUUCUCAGCUGUCUCACAUGCUAUAUACAGAAUUUACUGAAUAACAAAAGACAAUUAUUUCAGAAUAAUUAUUUAGUGCCAUGAUGCCAAAAAAUCACAACCAAUAUUCACAGGUUAUUGUUUGACCAUCUGCUGACCUGACUAAACAAUGAAGACAUGUAUUCUUUUCAUUAUGCAAUAAGAAAAUGCCAGACAAGUGCAUUCAUCAUUGCUAGAAAAAUACCCUCCAUAGAAAGUACCUGAAUUAUAGAAUCAUACAAUUGGAAGGGACCUCAAGGGUCAUCUAGUCCAACCUCUUGCACAGAUGUAGGAUUUGCUAUUCCUAAACCAUCUCAGACAGAUGGCUAUUCAGCUUCUUGAAAACCUCCUAUGAAGAAGAUUUCACAACUUUCCUAGGCAGCUUGUUUAAUUCUCUAGUGUUUAUACAGUUGGAAACAUUUCCCCUGAGGUUUAAUUUAAAUCUGCUUCACUACAAUUUAAACCCAUUGCCUUAUGUCCUACUUUCUGUGCCAAGUGAGAAUGGAUGUUCUUCCUUUUCAGUAUGAAAGUUUUUCAGAUAUUUGCACACUACUAUGAUGUCCUCCUUUCAUUUCCUUUCCUCCAGUCUAAACAUACCUAGGUCCUGCAACUUUUUAACCUCAUAUAGCUUACUUCCCAAUCUCUUUAUUUUCAUCACUUGCUUCUGGGCCCCUUCCAGUUUCCCUAUAUGCUUCACAAAAUAUGACAUCCUGCACUGGAGGCAAUACUUCAGCUGAUGUCUCAACUGUACUAAGCUGAGCAGUACCAUCAUUUCCUAAUCUAUGCAUACAAUUAUUUUUAUUAUUUAAAUUAUGUACAGGCUAAUUGGCCACUUGGACUCUGCCCUCCUUUUGGAUAUCCAAGGAUCCAUUUCCUUCAAAAUUCUGUCUUCUCUUUAUGCCUGGGAAGGCACUUUCUCCUGUCAGAUUUCAACUUGACUGAAGCAGUUGUGGUAUCUGUGACCUUUUGACUGUUUUUCCAUAUUAUCCACACUUAGGAAUGAAAACACUAAGCAAGCUACAGCUGAUUUAACAGUCCAUCUGAUCAUGAACACAGGACUGCAUGGGCUGCCUUAAUGAGAAGUGGGCACAUGUCCUCAAUAGCUUGUGAUAUUACAGAGGUCAUAGCAAAUUCUCUAUCUUAAGUGGCAUUUUUCUAAACUGAAUGCUUGCAAAAUAUCCUCUUGGCUUGAGUUUGCUUAUUUCCUCUACAAAACAAAGUGAAUGUUUACUAUGAGCGCUGUAAGCCAGUAGAGCAAUAAGAGUAAAUUGAAUGAUAUACUAUCUUAUGCAACAGCAAAACUGUCAGCCAAAUUGUGAGUUCAGAAUAUUUUUAAGUGGCAGAAAAUUUUUCCAAAUCCCAAACUGUUACAGUGCUGAUAGAUUAAAAUGUUAUCUUUUUUUACACAUGAGUUGACCCAAUUUGAUAGAAAUGUUACUGAGAAAAUAAAUAGAACCCUGCCAUUUCAGUUUGCAUUACUUUUCUGAUGAUAGUUAUGCUAAAAAAUGUAGCAUGACUGUCUAGGGACCAAAAGCCAAACUGUCUCAGAAAAUGUCCCUGAGAUCUGAGCAUGAUCCUCUUGCUUUCUGCAUGGAAGUGAUAAAGGCUAAGUAUAGACAGUUAAAAAGCCUGAGGCUGAAUCGAUUCAGUCUUUGCAGGUUAGUCUAACCUGCAAAGAGAUUAAACUGAAAAACAACUGGACAGACAUUCACUUUGGAUUCAGGAAAUGCGGCCACAUGCCUGCAGUGGUUCAGGCCAGAAGCCAGGGGAUGCUAGAGCACAGGUCUCUGGCAUAUAUCUGUGUGUUCACUAGGGCUGUGCCGAAUUUUGAAGCCAGUAUUGUUUUGACACUGUUUCAAUUUGUUUCAAGGUCAAAACAGCAAAAUCAAAAUGAAACAGAUAUCGUCUAAGCAGCCUCUAAACACAACAAGGCAAGUUGAAAUGUUUCACCAUUUUGAUGCUGUUUCGACAUUUCCCCCAUAGGCUAUAUGGGGAAGGUUGAAACAGCCUAAAACGUUGUCAUUUUUGGCCUGAUUUGGAUGAAACUUGCAGGAAUGGUAGCCCCUUGUGAGGGCAUGAAGCCUACCAAGUUUCAAGGAGAUGGGUUGCUUCUGUACCUUUAACAGUGAAGUUUCAAGGAGUUCCCAGCUCCAUAUUAAUUCUUUCCUCUCAUUAGUCUGUGGUUUCGUUAAUCCUUGCUCAUUAACUCAUUAUCGUAGCUAGCUACUGUGUUAUGCAAUCAAUCAUGAUUCACUCAGGGACCAGCUCAAUACAGGGUGGUCAGUGGUUCAAUUCCUGCCCUUGGUAAUGUUGUUAUAUGGUACAACUUACUUUUAAUCAUAAAGUACAUUUAUUACAAAGUUAAAAAGCAUAAAAUAUAAAAGGGAAAAUUGCCAUGGCACAUACAACAAAUAGACCAAAUAAAGUGAGGAGGAGACAUACCAAUGCAGAAUACUAUUUUAUACCCAUAAAAGCACCUACAAAAUAUAUUUUUAUUACAAGUAUACCUUAACUUUGUAACAAAUGACAGAGCUGGGAACUCCUGGAAACUUCACUGUUAAAGGUACAGAAGCCCCGAUUUGAACUAAUGAACACUGGAGACUGACUUUUGGGGCUAAAAUACCCCCUGAUCAACCACUCCCAGAGCCCUAUUCAUCAUGGCAGUGAAUUAAUCAACAUCCAUCAACGGACUCCUGAGACUGCACGUAUUCGCGGAUGUGACCCCUGGGGCUGACAGCUGCCAUCUAGCAGCCACCAAGGGGGACGUCCCACAAGGUCAAUGACCCCUGGAUUGGGUAAGCCCGAGAAUUGGGGAGUCACCAAAGUCUGCCAGAGAGGGAUAAAAGGCAACGAAGAAUGACCCCCAAUGGCAUCAUUUUUGACCUGAGCAACACACUGCCAGUCCAGCCAGAAGGACCAGCCGGCGACCCACUUCUGAAGCAACAUCGCACUGAAAGAAGUCUCAACUGGCCAUUGACAGCUGACUCCAGCGCUUGGGGAUAGGUAUAUCUUGACAUCAGUGCUUAGUAUUCAUAGCUAGCUACUGCGAGUGUGUGUGUGUGUGUGUGCAUGAAUGUGUGUGUGUUUGAGGGGAGCAGCCCCAAGGUUUAUGAUCUGACUUUUGCAUCCAUCUAAUAAACUAGAAUUUUAUGAUGA